CGGGACCUCAGGUCAGG
Molecule: ribosomal RNA, 17 nt
Filed under: Swartzia peruviana
Lineage: Eukaryota; Viridiplantae; Streptophyta; Magnoliopsida; Fabales; Fabaceae
Description: partial 26S ribosomal RNA
Source: RNAcentral